CAGUCGCCGCGGUAAUACGAAGGGGGCUAGCGUUGCUCGGAAUUACUGGGCGUAAAGGGCGCGUAGGCGGACAGUUCAGUCGGGGGUGAAAGCCCGGGGCUCAACCUCGGGAUUGCCUUCGAUACUGGCUGUCUUGAGUAUGAGAGAGGUGUGUGGAACUCCGAGUGUAGAGGUGAAAUUCGUAGAUAUUCGGAAGAACACCAGUGGCGAAGGCGACACACUGGCUCAUUACUGACGCUGAGGCGCGAAAGCGUGGGGAGCAAACAGGAUUAGAUACCCCCGUAGUCCCUGUCUCUUAUAC
Molecule: ribosomal RNA, 301 nt
Filed under: uncultured bacterium
Lineage: Bacteria
Description: partial 16S ribosomal RNA
Rfam family: Bacterial small subunit ribosomal RNA
Source: RNAcentral